Molecule: ribosomal RNA, 571 nt
Filed under: uncultured bacterium
Lineage: Bacteria
Description: partial 16S ribosomal RNA
Rfam family: Bacterial small subunit ribosomal RNA
Source: RNAcentral
UGGGGAAUUUUGGACAAUGGGGGCAACCCUGAUCCAGCAAUGCCGCGUGUGUGAAGAAGGCCUUCGGGUUGUAAAGCACUUUUGUCCGGAAAGAAAUCGCGCUGGCUAAUACCUGGCGUGGAUGACGGUACCGGAAGAAUAAGCACCGGCUAACUACGUGCCAGCAGCCGCGGUAAUACGUAGGGUGCGAGCGUUAAUCGGAAUUACUGUGCGUAAAGCGUGCGCAGGCGGUUUUGUAAGACAGGCGUGAAAUCCCCGGGCUCAACCUGGGGAAUUGCGCUUGUGACUGCAAGGCUAGAGUGUGUCAGAGGGGGGUAGAAUUCCACGUGUGCAGUGAAAUGCGUAGAGAUGUGGAGGAAUACCGAUGCGAAGGCAGCCCCCUGGGACAAGACUGACGCUCAUGCACGAAAGCGUGGGGAGCAAACAGGAUUAGAUACCCUGGUAGUCCACGCCCUAAACGAUGCUAAACUAGUUGUUGGGGAUUCAUUUCCUCAGUAACGUAGCUAACGCGUGAAGUUGACCGCCUGGGGAGUACGGUCGCAAGAUUAAAACUCAAAUGAAUUGACGGGGU